This 482-nucleotide ribosomal RNA is filed under the name uncultured beta proteobacterium. RNAcentral describes it as "bacterial SSU rRNA". It matches the Rfam family "Bacterial small subunit ribosomal RNA", at positions 30 to 509 of the family's 1533-position model. Lineage: Bacteria; Pseudomonadati; Pseudomonadota; Betaproteobacteria. The record is from RNAcentral.
AUUGAACGCUGGCGGAAUGCUUUACACAUGCAAGUCGAACGGUAGAGGGGGCAACCCCUUGAGAGUGGCGAACGGGUGAGUAAUAUAUCGGAACGUGCCCAGUCAUGGGGGAUAACGUAGCGAAAGUUACGCUAAUACCGCAUACGAUCUAAGGAUGAAAGCGGGGGAUCGCAAGACCUCGCGCGACUGGAGCGGCCGAUAUCAGAUUAGGUAGUUGGUAGGGUAAAGGCCUACCAAGCCAACGAUCUGUAGCUGGUCUGAGAGGACGACCAGCCACACUGGAACUGAGACACGGUCCAGACUCCUACGGGAGGCAGCAGUGGGGAAUUUUGGACAAUGGGCGAAAGCCUGAUCCAGCCAUUCCGCGUGCAGGAUGAAGGCCCUCGGGUUGUAAACUGCUUUUGUACAGAACGAAAAGGUUUCUAUUAAUACUAGGAGCUCAUGACGGUACUGUAAGAAUAAGCACCGGCUAACUACGUGCC